AAAUUGAAGAGUUUGAUCAUGGCUCAGAUUGAACGCUGGCGGCAGGCCUAACACAUGCAAGUCGAACGGUAGCACAGAGAGCUUGCUCUCGGGUGACGAGUGGCGGACGGGUGAGUAAUGUCUGGGAAACUGCCCGAUGGAGGGGGAUAACUACUGGAAACGGUAGCUAAUACCGCAUAACGUCGCAAGACCAAAGUGGGGGACCUUCGGGCCUCACACCAUCGGAUGUGCCCAGAUGGGAUUAGCUAGUAGGUGGGGUAACGGCUCACCUAGGCGACGAUCCCUAGCUGGUCUGAGAGGAUGACCAGCCACACUGGAACUGAGACACGGUCCAGACUCCUACGGGAGGCAGCAGUGGGGAAUAUUGCA
Molecule: ribosomal RNA, 369 nt
Filed under: Salmonella enterica subsp. enterica serovar Kentucky
Lineage: Bacteria; Pseudomonadati; Pseudomonadota; Gammaproteobacteria; Enterobacterales; Enterobacteriaceae
Description: bacterial SSU rRNA
Rfam family: Bacterial small subunit ribosomal RNA
Source: RNAcentral